RNAcentral lists this transfer RNA (66 nucleotides) under Enoplolambrus validus. RNAcentral describes it as "tRNA-Pro". Lineage: Eukaryota; Metazoa; Arthropoda; Malacostraca; Decapoda; Parthenopidae. The record is from RNAcentral.
CAGAGAAUAGUUUAAAUAAUAAAUAUUAGUUUUGGGAAUUAAAGAUAAAAGUAUUUUUUUCUCUGA